Molecule: ribosomal RNA, 496 nt
Filed under: Philothamnus smithii
Lineage: Eukaryota; Metazoa; Chordata; Lepidosauria; Squamata; Colubridae
Description: partial large subunit ribosomal RNA
Rfam family: Bacterial large subunit ribosomal RNA
Source: RNAcentral
AGCUAAACAAAUAUUAAAGGCGACGCCUGCCCAGUGAACAAUUUAACGGCCGCGGUAUCCUAACCGUGCAAAGGUAGCAUAAUCAUUUGUCUACUAAUUAUAGACCAGCAUGAAAGGCAAAAUGAGGGUUUGACUGUCUCUUAUAAUUAAUCAAUUAAACUGAUCUCCCAGUAAAAAAGCUGGAAUAACCCCAUAAGACCAGAAGACCCUGUGAAGCUUAAACUACACUAUUAAACCCCAUAAUAGCCACUUUUGGUUGGGGCGACCUUGGAAAAAAAAAGAACUUCCAAACACAUGGUAUAUAUAUAUACCACCAAUAGGCCAACAAGCCACACAACGACCCAGCAUAGCUGAUCAUUGAACCAAGUUACUCCAGGGAUAACAGCGCAAUCCUCUUCAAGAGCCCAUAUCAAAAAGAGGGUUUACGACCUCGAUGUUGGAUCAGGACAUCCUGAUGGUGCAGCCGCUAUCAAGGGUUCGUUUGUUCAACGAUUAA